RNAcentral lists this ribosomal RNA (495 nucleotides) under uncultured bacterium. RNAcentral describes it as "partial 16S ribosomal RNA". It matches the Rfam family "Bacterial small subunit ribosomal RNA", at positions 30 to 523 of the family's 1533-position model. The record is from RNAcentral.
AUUGAACGCUGGCGGAAUGCUUUACACAUGCAAGUCGAACGGUAGAGGGGGCAACCCCUCGAGAGUGGCGAACGGGUGAGUAAUAUAUCGGAACGUGCCCAGUCGUGGGGGAUAACGUAGCGAAAGUUACGCUAAUACCGCAUACGAUCUAAGGAUGAAAGCGGGGGAUCGCAGACCUCGCGCGAUUGGAGCGGCCGAUAUCAGAUUAGGUAGUUGGUGGGGUAAAGGCUCACCAAGCCAACGAUCUGUAGCUGGUCUGAGAGGACGACCGGCCACACUGGAACUGAGACACGGUCCAGACUCCUACGGGAGGCAGCAGUGGGGAAUUUUGGACAAUGGACGCAAGUCUGAUCCAGCCAUUCCGCGUGCAGGAUGAAGGCCCUCGGGUUGUAAACUGCUUCUGUACGGAACGAAAAGGUCUCUCUUAAUACGGGGGACUCAUGACGGUACCGUAAGAAUAAGCACCGGCUAACUACGUGCCAGCAGCCGCCGUAA